UACAGAGGGGGCAAGCGUUGUUCGGAAUUACUGGGCGUAAAGGGCGCGUAGGCGGCCUGUUAAGUCGAACGUGAAAUCCCCGGGCUCAACCCGGGAACUGCGUCCGAUACUGGCAGGCUUGAAUCCGGGAGAGGGAUGCGGAAUUCCAGGUGUAGCGGUGAAAUGCGUAGAUAUCUGGAGGAACACCGGUGGCGAAGGCGGGUCUCUGGGUAGUAACUGACGCUGAGGAACGAAAGCGUGGGUAGCGAACAGG
This 253-nucleotide ribosomal RNA is filed under the name uncultured bacterium. RNAcentral describes it as "partial 16S ribosomal RNA". It matches the Rfam family "Bacterial small subunit ribosomal RNA", at positions 524 to 776 of the family's 1533-position model. The record is from RNAcentral.